This is a non-coding RNA of Pelobates cultripes (western spadefoot toad), 385 nucleotides long. The record is from the annotation of a GenBank genome assembly. Lineage: Eukaryota; Metazoa; Chordata; Amphibia; Anura; Pelobatidae.
GCGAUUCACAAAUCUUAGCUUUGCUGUAUACAAGUUGGUUGUGGCCACCUGAGUGCCUUAAUAAGUGCCAUUACUGAAGGCACUAUAAAAACGUCAAAUAGAUGAAGUUGUUAAAGUGCCUACAGUGUUCCGUUAAUGACAAAAUGGAUCCAUCUUCGACCGAUCUGACCUGAUAAUAGGCGACAUUCAUUACCAAAUCACGUUAUACAUCAACAUUGAAUGAAUCUUUAACCGUGUUCAUAUUGGACAUUUUGGGUGUAGUAUACAUGUGCAUUCGUUUUGUGUUCUCAAUGUUUCCAUGUUAUGUUAUUACAGUACUUAUUGGUACUUGAUAUUCUUUAACAAUGCUCCAUUAGUAGAAGUAGUUUCCAUAAGUCACUAAAAU